Molecule: long non-coding RNA, 310 nt
Filed under: Homo sapiens (human)
Lineage: Eukaryota; Metazoa; Chordata; Mammalia; Primates; Hominidae
Description: HSALNT0328794
Source: RNAcentral
CCAAUGUAGUGGGUCCAACCAGCAUUAAAAAAGAAAGAAAGAAAGAAAGAAAGAAAGAAUAGAAAAUAUCAGAGUACAUAACAAGUAGUAAAGGAAGUCACCAUCUUCGGUGGGGACCUUUCUCAGACAAUCUAUUCUUCCACAAUUCUCCUUGAGCAACCAAGAUAUUAACGGGGAAGACUUGAAGUUUCUAUGCUGCUUGAUCCAGAAUUUUCUCACCAUGGAUGUGGGGUUCUCACCUUUGAAGGAAUGCAUUGUGGACACAAACAAGAACUGUCUGUACUCUUGCAGGAAAUGGAAACGGUACAAA